This is an RNA transcript of Thunnus maccoyii (southern bluefin tuna), 3172 nucleotides long. It is a transcript of the gene named cyclin-dependent kinase 19, with no coding region annotated. The record is from RefSeq and is a predicted model, not a curated record. NCBI's taxonomy places the organism in Eukaryota, Metazoa, Chordata, Actinopteri, Scombriformes, Scombridae. The transcript is spliced from 14 exons.
CAGACCAAAAUCCCAAACAAGGAAAUGGUGGGGGAAUAAAACGACCAGAUUAUUUAAUUAAUGCAUGUAAUAAUUAAUAUUUUAUUUUAUUGUAAAUUAAGACGUAUUUAUGGGUUAAAAUGGAUUACGACUUCAAAACAAAGCUGGCGGCCGAGAGAGAGAGAGUAGAAGAUCUGUUCGAAUAUGAAGGUUGCAAAGUGGGUCGAGGCACCUACGGGCACGUUUAUAAAGCUAAGCGCAAAGACGGGAAAGAUGAAAAGGAGUAUGCACUGAAACAAAUAGAAGGCACUGGAAUAUCGAUGUCUGCGUGCAGGGAAAUCGCUCUGUUACGAGAAUUGAAACAUCCAAAUGUGAUCGCCCUGCAGAAAGUGUUCCUGUCCCACAGUGACAGAAAGGUUUGGCUCCUCUUCGACUAUGCCGAACAUGACCUUUGGCACAUCAUCAAGUUCCACCGCGCCUCCAAGGCCAACAAGAAGCCCAUGCAGCUGCCCCGAGGGAUGGUGAAGUCUCUCCUGUAUCAGAUUCUGGAUGGGAUCCAUUACCUCCAUGCCAACUGGGUGCUCCACAGGGAUCUGAAACCAGCUAACAUCCUGGUGAUGGGGGAAGGUCCUGAACGAGGAAGAGUUAAAAUCGCUGACAUGGGUUUCGCCAGACUCUUCAACUCUCCCCUCAAGCCGCUGGCGGACCUUGAUCCUGUGGUGGUGACGUUCUGGUACAGGGCCCCUGAGCUGCUGCUGGGGGCCCGGCACUACACCAAAGCUAUCGAUAUCUGGGCAAUUGGCUGCAUCUUUGCAGAGCUGCUAACCUCGGAGCCCAUCUUUCACUGUCGCCAAGAAGACAUCAAGACCAGUAAUCCCUUCCAUCAUGACCAGCUGGACAGGAUAUUCAGCGUCAUGGGUUUCCCCGCAGAUAAGGACUGGGAAGACAUCAGGAAGAUGCCAGAGUACCCCACACUGCAGAAGGAUUUCAGGAGGACAACGUAUGCAAACAGCAGCUUAAUCAAAUAUAUGGAGAAGCAUAAAGUCAAACCAGACAGCAAAGUUUUCCUGUUGCUCCAGAAACUCCUCACCAUGGACCCCACCAAAAGGAUCACAUCGGAGCAGGCGCUGCAGGACCCCUACUUCCUGGAGGACCCGUUGCCAACCACUGAUGUGUUUGCUGGGUGUCAGAUCCCCUACCCAAAACGAGAGUUUCUUAACGAAGACGAGCCAGAGGAGAAAACAGAAAAGAACCAGACCCAGCAGCACCAGCAGACAACAGGCCAGACUCAGGCCCAGAACCAGCAGCAGACGACAGCCCAGCAGGCCCCCUCCCAGCAGAGCUCAGCCCAAACCAACGGCACCUCCGGAGCCACGGGAGCCACCACCGGCGGGGGUUUACAACACGGCCAGGACCAGGGGCCCCCGAACAAGAAACCUCGGAUUGGGCCUUCUGGGGCCUCCUCAGGCACCGGGGUGCUACAGUCAGAGUACCAGCACUCCGGCUCCCGCCUUGGUUACCAAAGCAACGUCCAAGGUUCCACUCAGCCCCAGAGCACCAUGGGAUACACAUCGUCAUCCCAGCAGAGCUCCCAGUACUCCCACCAGACCCACCGUUACUGAGGCUCUGCGUUGCUCCUGAACCAGCAGAGGAGUCAGCUCCUCCUCCUCCUCUCCAACCUCAGCAGAUGUCACCAUACGCCCCCCGGCUCCAGCCGAGGCAUCGCUCCCUUAUCCUGGUCGGACGCCCCUCAGUGCAUUACAUCAUUCCAACUCAAACACCCACCUUUUCAGCCCCCCAUCACCUUUGACCUCUUAUCUGACAGCCUUCAAGGGCGCUAUAACAUGAAGGCAAAAAAACACGGGAACCAAAAAAAUCCAAGUUCUGCCUCCUCUGGCUGGUGAAACAUUUUUAAAGCAACUGAAAAUAAUGUAAGAUAGAUGUGAAGGCGUCACACACAGACUCAGAACCGUGGCACUUAUAAACACAACGUUCCUCACGAGGAAGAAUCGCAGCUGUGUUCAUAUAUGUACAUUAUAUAGCACCUUUUUCUAUUUGAUUUUUUUUUUCUCGCUUGUUUGUUAGAGUUUUCAAGUUUACCUUGAUAGUUGAUGUCAUUGUAAAUAUUGUUACAUAUGGAAGCGAUCAGACGAAAUACAGGAGGUAAAGCCCUUUACUGUCAUCUCUAGUGUACUAUGACCUUGGAUAAUCAAAAGAAAAGGAGAACAAGUUUGAGCUAACCCUGUCCUUUUAGGUAAAAAAAAAAAAAGACACACAGUCAAUGUUUCUACACAGAAAAAAAUCAGCUCUUCAGCUGAUGCAAUUGCAGGGAAAUAUUAAAUGCGCAAUUUAACUUAAUCUUCUUAUUAUAGGGUUUCUAUAUUUAGACCUCUCUUUAUCUAGAUUUGAAUUUGGAAAGUAAGAAAAGUAGUUGUCUUUUUACAGCUCUAAGUUGUGUAUAUUCUGAUUCACUCCUCUUCUUGUAGAGAUAAGACAACAUUUGACAUGGUGAAGAUGUUUCCUCUGACAACAACAGCAGUUUCAGGAGGUUGGACGCCUCUCGUUUGUGGCCAGCAGCUCUGGAGUGGUUUUUUUUGUUUUUUUUCCGGGAGCUGCUGGUGGACACUUCACUUUGACACCCAUUGUGAACCCUCAAGACUUUCAAGGUUUCUGAACACGAACGUGCGCAUAAAACGUACAGGGCAGCUAAACAGUAUGCCCCCUCCCCCUUAUCCUCACACCCCAUAUGCUUCAUGAGACUGUUACUGCCUGAUGUCAGAUUGUUGUUGUUGUUUUUUUUUUUAAGGUUUUAUUGUUAUUAUUGUUGCCCUGUGAGUGAGUGUGUGUGUGUCUGUGUGUGUGUGUGUGUGUUGGUGUGCGUAGGUGUGUGUGUUUUUUUAUGCAUGUUGUUCAUCCUUUUACUCACUAGAACUGCACUGACCACUGAAGUGAUCUGCAAAGAGCUGGAACAAACGUGGGAUGACUGUGCAGAGAGAGAGAUAGGAAACAUGGAGAGAGUUGCAACAAAAGUCCCUGGCCAGGAUUGAGGACAUUAUGUGGUAUGUGGCUUAACCUUUAAGCUACGAAGACACCUCAUUCAGUUACACUUUUGACUGUAUUUUCACACAGUGAUGCGGACUGUAGAUUUUGACCCCUGUGUCUUCCAUUGGGAUUGAGUUAGGGAUCUCUUCAC